UUUUUUGAGAGUUUGAUCCUGGCUCAGGAUGAACGCUGGCGGCGUGCCUUAAGCAUGCAAGUCGAACGGUUGUGCGAGGCAUUUUGCCUCGCAGUCUUUGGUCUUUGGUCUUUGGUCUUUGGCUACAAGGAAAUGUUAUAAAAAUUUCUUAUUGCUAAUGACUAAUGACCAAUGGCUAAUUGCUGCGAAGCAGUAUGCUUCGCAUGACAGUGGCAGACGGGUGAGUAACGCGUAGGAAUCUACCUCUAGGUAGAGGAUAGCCCCGCGAAAGCGGGGGUAAUACUUUAUGGUCUCGUAAGAGUAAAGGACUUAACUGUCCGCCAAGAGAGGAGCCUGCGUCCUAUCAGCUAGUUGGUGAGGUAAUGGCUCACCAAGGCUAUGACGGGUAGCUGGACUGAGAGGUUGGUCAGCCACAACUGCACUGAGAUACGGGCAGUACACCUACGGGUGGCAGCAACUAGGAAUAUUGCGCAAUGGACGAAAGUCUGACGCAGCGACGCCGCGUGGAGGAUGAAGGCCUUAGGGUCGUAAACUCCUUUUGCCAAGCCGUUCACAGCUUGGAGAAUAAGCCCCUACUAACUACGUGCCAGAAGUCUCGGUAAUACGUAGGGGGCAAGCGUUAUCCGGAUUCAUUGGGCGUAAAGUGUGCGUAGGCGGUUUGGAAAGUCCCGGUUUAAAGACUACGGCUUAACCGUAGUAAUGGUUGGGAUACUCCCAGACUUGAGGAUUAGUGAGGAUGUUGGAACGGCCGGUGUAGCGGUGAAAUGCAUUGAUAUCGGCUGGAACACCAAGGGCGAAGGCAAGCAUCUAUACUUUUCCUGACGCUGAGGCACGAAAGCUAGGGUAGCGAAACAGAUUAGAUACCUGUGUAGUCCUAGCCGUAAACUAUGUCCGUUAGCUCUCACUCGCAAAGUCUGAUGACUUUGCUAGUCAUCAAGUUAUAAGGUCAUCAAGUCAUAAAGCCAUAAAGCAGACUUGAAGACAUUCGACUUGAAGACUUUUUACUAGCAAAAUCGUAGAUUUUGUGAGUGGGGGCGUAAGCUAACGCGUUAAACGGACCGCCUGGGGAGUACGACCGCAAGGUUAAAACUCAAAGGAAUUGACGGGGACCCGCACAACCAGUGGAGCGUGUGGUUUAAUUCGAGACAAAACGAAGGACCUCACCAGGGUUUGAAAUGUUAGAGUUCUAUUUUACAGAAAUGUAGAAAAUCCGUAAGGAGGCUAGCAUAGGUGCUGCAUGGCUGUCGUCAGCUCGUGCCGUGAGGUGUUCCCUUAAGUGGGGAAACGAGCGCAACCCCCGCCUAAUGUUAAAUAUUCAUUAGGGACCGCCCCACACUCAAGUACAUAAAAAUUAUGUUUUUGAGUGUGGGGAGGAAGGAGGGGUAGACGUCAAGUCAGCACGGCCCUUAUGCCCUGGGCAACACACACACUACAAUGGCGAAUAACAAUGGGCAGCAAGCUGGUAACAGUAAGCAAAUCCCUGAAAUUUCGUCUCAGUUCAGAUUGAGGGCUGCAACUCGCCCUCAUGAAGUCGGAAUUGGUAGUAAUCGCGGAUCAGCAUGCCGCGGUGAAUACGUUCUCGGGUCUUGUACACACCGCCCGUCAAGGCAGCAAAGUUGGGAAUGGAUGAAGCUCCGGCGUAGCCGGAUCGAGUCCAAGCUUAGCGAUGAAGCUUAAGUCGUAACAAGGUAUCCCUAGCCGAAGCUGGGGAUGGAUCACCUCCUUU
RNAcentral lists this ribosomal RNA (1726 nucleotides) under Patescibacteria group bacterium. Its description in RNAcentral is "bacterial SSU rRNA". It matches the Rfam family "Bacterial small subunit ribosomal RNA". The record is from RNAcentral.